This 253-nucleotide ribosomal RNA is filed under the name uncultured bacterium. Its description in RNAcentral is "partial 16S ribosomal RNA". It matches the Rfam family "Bacterial small subunit ribosomal RNA", at positions 524 to 776 of the family's 1533-position model. The record is from RNAcentral.
UACGUAGGGCGCGAGCGUUGUCCGGAAUUAUUGGGCGUAAAGAGCUCGUAGGCGGCUUGUCGCGUCGGAUGUGAAAGCCCGGAACUUAACCCCGGGUCUGCAUUCGAUACGGGCAGGCUAGAGUUCGGUAGGGGAGAUCGGAAUUCCUGGUGUAGCGGUGAAAUGCGCAGAUAUCAGGAGGAACACCGGUGGCGAAGGCGGAUCUCUGGGCCGAUACUGACGCUGAGGAGCGAAAGCGUGGGGAGCGAACAGG